Long non-coding RNA from Oncorhynchus nerka (sockeye salmon), 6669 nucleotides. RefSeq lists it as uncharacterized. The transcript is spliced from 2 exons. NCBI's taxonomy places the organism in Eukaryota, Metazoa, Chordata, Actinopteri, Salmoniformes, Salmonidae. The record is from RefSeq and is a predicted model, not a curated record.
AGCCAUUGAUGGGAUGUUCUUGGAGUUAGCCUAUACACCACAGUGUGUGAGAUAGAAAGCCAUUGAUGGGAUGUUCUUGGAGUUAGCCUAUACACCACAGUGUGUGAGAUAGAAAGCCAUUGAUGGGAUGUUCUUGGAGUUAGCCUAUACACCACAGUGUGUGAGAUAGAAAGCCAUUGAUGGGAUGUUCUUGGAGUUAGCCUAUACACCACAGUGUGUGAGAUAGAAAGCCAUUGAUGGGAUGUUCUUGGAGUUAGCCUAUACACCACAGUGUGUGAGAUAGAAAGCCAUUGAUGGGAUGUUCUUGGAGUUAGCCUAUACACCACAGUGUGUGAGAUAGAAAGCCAUUGAUGGGAUGUUCUUGGAGUUAGCCUAUAGGCUACUUAAAAUAGCUGAAUCUCCUCUGUGCCUGAGCAGCGAGAGGGAGGAGAGGGAGAGAGGGAGUGUGCGACAUCAUAGUGAUCCACAUUGACAGUGACAUCACUACUCAACGAACGGGUGGGACUUCGCAGGCUUUCUCAUUCCAGCAGUGUGCUGUGGAUAUUGAAUCACUACCUAACUGUCAGGAAAAUGUGCCUGGUACUUGGUGGCAACUGCCUUGUCAAACAAUAAUAAUGCACUUUUGUGCCUUAACUUUAUUCCUGAGAAUGAAACCGAAUCCGUUGCAGAGUCUGCUCGACGUUGGAUCUGUGCAUCUGUUGAUUCCGGAUGGUGCGAUCUGCUGAAUGAAGCGGGAACAGAGGACCUGAGCCCUAGGACCACGCAUCAAGACUACCUGGCCUGAGUCCACCUGUCCACAGUCCACCUGGUCAUGCUGCUGCUCAAGUUUCAACUGUUCUGCCUGUGGCUAUGGAACCCUGACCUGUUCACUGGAUGUGCUACCUUGUCCAGGACCUGCUGUUGAAGAGGACUGGCCACCACUCGAAGCCUGGUUCCUCUCGGUUUCUUCCUAGGUUCUGUCCUUUCUAGGGAGUUUUUCCUAGACACUGUGCUUGUACAUCUGCAUUGCUUGCUGUUUGGGGUUUUAGGCUGGGUUUCUGUCUAAGCACUUUGUGACAUCGGCUGAUGUAAAAAGGACUUUAUAAACACAUUUGAUUGAUUGAUUGAUUGAUUGAUUGGUGGCACAUUCAUUGGGGAAGACAAACUCAUAAUAAUGACUGAAACAGAAUACAUGGAAUGGUAUCAAACACAUAGUAUCAAACACAUGGUAUCAAACUGUCACGAUAAUUUUCAAUCCCAAUGAUAAUAACUAUCAAUCAAUCAAUAGAUUUGACCAAUCCCCGAGGUUUGUAAGACCAUGGGUAUAAUAAUAAUUAGGCAAAGACUCAGCUUUAUGCAAAAGGUCUGUACAGUUUAUUCAGAGAACGUUCUAAAUUCCAUUAUACUAAGACAUCCAUUUUAUAGCUGCGCACAUACUUCCACACAAACAGUAGGUAUCCUACGCACAUACUUCCACACAAACAGUAGGUGAGUUUUAUCCUUCUCUAUAGUUCUCACCACUGUGUAUCACUACCUAGCCGACAGUUCCAUUGCCCCAAGAUUAGGGAAACCUUGAGAAGUACUCCCUAUGCUAUCAUUAGUUCCUCAGAGGCCUAGCCAGGUCGGUCCAAACACACUUUAACCUUUUUGGGAUAGGGGGCAGCAUUGACAUUUUUGGAUGAAUAGCGUGCCCAGAGUGAACUGCCUCCUACUCUGUCCCAGAUGCUAAAAUAUGCAUAUUAAUAGUAAUAUUGGAUAGAAAACACUCUGAAUUUUCUGAAACUGUUUGAAUGAUGUCUGUGAGUAUAACAGAGCUCAUUUGGCAGGCAAAAACCUGAGAAAAAUCCAACCAGGAAUUGGGACAUCUUUGGUUUGUAGUUUUUCAAAGCUUGGCCUACCGAAUACACAUUGAGAUAUGGAUAAAGUUGCACUUCCUACAGCUUCCACUAGAUGUCAACUGUCUUUAGAAACUGGUUUGAGGAUUAUACUAUAAAGGAGGGGCUCAUACUGUAAGAGCUCUUUGAGUCAGUGGUCUGGCAGAGAGCCUUGGUCUCAUGACGCGUGCUCCCGACAGAGUUACCUCUCGUUCCAGUGCUUUUCUGAAGACAAAGGAAUUCUCCGGUUGGAACAUUAUUGAUGUUUUAUGUUAAAAACAUCCUAAAGAUUGAUUCCAUACAUCAUUUGACAUGUUUUUAAAGUACUGUAAUGGAACUUUUUGAGUUUUUGUCUGGAUGAAGUACCUGCGCCUCAUGAAGAUGGAUUACUGGGCUGAACACGCUAACAACAAGUGGCUAUUUGGACAUAAAUGAUAGAACUUUAUGGAACAUAUCAGUCAUUUAUUGUUGAACUGGGAUUCCUGGGAGUGCCUUCUGAUGAAGAUCAUCAAAGGUAAGUGAGUAUUUAUGGUGUUGUUUCUAACUUUGUUGAUUCCAAAAUGGGAGAUAUUCCUCUGGCUGUUUUGGGUUCUGAGCGCCGUUCUCAGAUUAUGCUUUUCCGUAAAGUUUUUUUGAAAUCUGACACAGCGGUUGCAUUAAGGAGAAGUCUAUCUUUAAUUCUGUGACUAACACUUGUAUCUUUUAUCAACGUUUAUAAUGAGUAUUUCUGCAAAAUCAAUGGCUGUUUUGGAAUCAAAACAUUACUGCACGUAAGGCGCCAAUGUAAACUGAGAUUUUUGGAUAUAAAUAUGCACAUUAUCGAACAAAAUAUAUAUGUAUUGUGUAACGUGAUGUCCUAUGAGUGUCAUCUGAUGAAGAUCAUCAAAGGUUAGUGAUUAAUUUUAUCUAUAGUUCUGCUUUUUGUGACUCCUAUCUUUGGCUGGAAAAAUGUCUGUGUGUUUUUUCAACUUGGCUAUGACCUAACAUAAUCGUAUGUUGUGCAUUAGCUGUAAAGCUUUUUUGAAAUCGGACACGAUGAUAGAUUAACAAGAUGUUUAUCUAUCAUUUGCUGUAUUGGACUUGUUAAGGAGGUAACCCCGGACCCUGUUGGUACUCGUUUCUCCUAACUCUGUGUAUGAUCAGCCGUGCUCAUAUGUGUACAUACCUUCUUGCAGUGGGUAACAUGGACCCAAGUGACUCUCUCAGCUAUUCUAAUGGCAAAGGUGGUGGUUUAAUAGAACCUGGUAUGGGCCUUCCGAACGGGGCUACUUCCAGUCUAUUCUCCUCAGGGACUGGAUCCACACCCAGUCUCCUGGUUGGAUUGAGUGAAUCACCUUCUCCUGUAAUUCACCUGUUGGACACAAAAUCUUGAACAUACGGGUUUGGUUAACAAACAGUCUUCUCAUGUGUUCUACUAGUAUAUCUUCAACUUCUAUGUCUACCUGUUCUGGUCCCUAACUCUGGCCUUCUAUUUGUUCUACCUGAUUAGCUAAAAUGUCAUCCAUUAUUUAAAGAAAUAGAUCUUAGUAAACCAACUCUAGGGAUAAUAUCUUGACCUAAUAUUUUAGCUACCAUAAUCGUGUCCGCCAAGUAAGUUGGGAAUGCUUCUACCCCUUUAAUAUACUUAUCUAUUAUAGUUAAACACCCCUUAUUUCCCUCCCUUCGGAAUAGUUCAAUGAAGUCCAUUUCCAAGUCCAUUAUUCUACAGAUAUAUAUAUUUUUGUGAAGUAAUUAUCCUCUAGGCCAUUAAGUCUUUCCGAACCUGCCAGGUUUUCCUAACCUGCUCUACCAUCCUUCCUCUAACCUCCAGUGUUUCCUAACCUGCUCUACCAUCCUUCCUCUAACCUGCAGUGUUUCCUAACCUGAUCUACCAUCCUUCCUCUAACCUGCAGUGUUUCCUAACCUGCUCUACCAUCCUUCCUCUAACCUGCAGUGUUUCCUAACCUGAUCUACCAUCCUUCCUCUAACCUGCAGUGUUUCCUAACCUGCUCUACCAUCCUUCCUCUAACCUGCAGUGUUUCCUAACCUGAUCUACCAUCCUUCCUCUAACCUGCAGUGUUUCCUAACCUGCUCUACCAUCCUUCCUCUAACCUGCAGUGUUUCCUAACCUGCUCUACCAUCCUUCCUCUAACCUGCAGUGUUUCCUAACCUGCUCUACCAUCCUUCCUCUAACCUGCAGUGUUUCCUAACCUGCUCUACCAUCCUUCCUCCCUGUUGACACCCGGCUCUGCCCAUGUGUCAAUAUUUCUGAAUAUCUAAACAAUGACUUAGGUAGUAUGGGCAACUUAUCCUUGUACCAAAUCUCUUCUGAAUCCCCCUAUUCCUGUCUAGGAUGUGCGGCUCCUUCUAAUGCCCUCACUACAUCCCUCUGUGUCCAUGUCCUAUAGACUUCUAUCGUGUCUGGUUAUGCUCCGUCCCCAGCUCUGGGGUUGGAUAAGGUUAUGAGUGGGAAUUGGGGUAUCUUCUCAUCGUCAUCUAACUAUUCUGUGUCCCUUCUAUCUUCUCUCAAUCCUGGCUUAUUAUCACAUUCUAACCUUCGUAACUCUCCAGGUCUCCUGCUCCUCACUCCCAGUCUCUCCCUCUCAUUCUCCUCAAAUUCCUUCUGCUCUCUCUCUCUAUCUCUGCUCACUUCCUGCCCCCCCUCCUCCUAAUACUCCCAAACCAUCAAGGUCACCUUAGGCCUCCGCAUAGGGUGGGGGAGCCCUUCUCCAUCUGCCUUUUCUACUAUCUGUCUGUCGCUCUUUCUUAUAACAGUCAGUAUCAAAUAUUGGUUGUUUCCAAAUAUUGACUAAAUGCCUCACUGUCUCCCUGUCUGCAGGGAUUUAAACAAAUAAAAUAAACAUGUCUAUGGUAGUAAUCUCUAAGAUUAUUACCUGGUUGAUAAAGUUUAUCUCGAUUACUCUCAAUGAUCCUAAAUCACCACAGAUUUCAUAUAUCCCUGUCCUGUUGGCUUAGAAUAUGUUCUAAAUACUUAACAUAAGUCUACCAUCAUUAAACUUAUUCUUGCUACUUUAUAACCUUAUUCAACAACAAAUAUAAUAAUACUAUUAUAUCAAUUUCACAGCCUUGUUGCAUACAACAACAGCUGGCUGAAAUAAAACUUUGCUAGAUUACUAAACAUCACUUAAGCCAAAAUAGUGGGAGUUACAAAAUAACCUUAGGACAGUUUUUUAUAAACACACCUCCGCCCCAUUUCUAACCCAUAAUUCUCCAUGAGUGUUGUAUAAAAAAUACUACUACUGGUCCAAAGAUAAAAUAAAGUUUCAAAUAACAAUCAGAUCAAAAUCCCUACUCUGAAACCCUCCACAGAGAAAAAUGAUUGUACCCUUAUGGCCAUAGGGAGAGAGACUGAAUUAAGGAAGUCUUCUCAUCGUCAAAGGUUAUGCCCUAUCUUUCUUCUCAUUGGUUCAAAUUACAAAUAGGUCAAAGAACUAUAAACUCCAUCAUAAUUAUCAAUUACACAAAUUACCUUAAAGUCAGUAUCACAAAUGACCUCAAAUUCAUUAUCCAAAUGGCCCUCCCAUGAGGCUGAUCAGACCACACAGGAGAGCUAUGAUAGAGGUCAAAAGUCAUAUCACCCUUUCAAAGAAGUGUUUCUUACUAUAUUAGACAACUUAAAGAAAAACCAUCAAACAUUUUCUACAUUUUGUAUCCCAGGUUCCCAGAACAUACCCUUAUCUAAAGAAUUUAUGUGUUUAAUUAAAACUCAGAAAAUAAAACUUUGUCACGCCCUCACCUUAGUUAUCUUUGUUUUCUUUAUUAUUUGGUUAGGUCAGGGUGUGACAAGGGUGGUUUGUUUAGUUUUUGUAUUGUCUAUGGGUUUUUGUAUGUCUAGGGGUUUUCUAGUCUAAGUGUUUAUAUAUCUAUGGUUGCCUAGUUUGGGAACCAUAUUUAGGUAGCCAUAUUCCUUGGUUAUUUUGUGGGUUGUUAUUCUAUGUUCAGUUGCCUGUUCUGCACUAGCCAUAUUGCUUCACGGUUAGUUUUGUUGUUUUGUUUAGUUCUGUUCAGUGUUCUCUCUUUUUUCUCUUUUUCGGAGCGUCCCGCGACAGUGCCCAGUCCGGAGCGUCUGGCGACAGUGCCCAGUCCGGGCGUCCGGAGACAGUACCCAGUCCGGAGUGUCCGGCGACAGUACCCAGUCCAGAGCGUCCCGGGACAGUACCCAGUCCGGAACCUCCAACGACGGGCCACAGUCCGGAACCUCCAACGACGGGCUACAGUCCGGGGUCUCCAGCGACGGUCCCCAGUCCAGAACAUCCGGCGAUGAUCCAAGCAGCGAGGGUCCCCAGCCCGGGACCUACGGUGAGGAUCCGCAGUCCAGAGCAUCUGGUGAUGAUCCACGGGUCAGUGCUAAAAGAGCGGACUCAGUGUUAAGAAGGGGGGCGGCAUCCAGAACCAAAGCCGCCACCAAGGUUAGAUGCCCACCCAGACCUUAGUUAUUAUUUACGUGUUUAAUUAAAACUCAGAAAAUAAAACUUUGUCACGCCCUGACCUUAGUUAUCUUUGUUUUCUUUAUUAUUUGGUUAGGUCAGGGUGUGACAAGGGUGGUUUGUUUAGUUUUUGUAUUAUCUAGAGAUUUUUCUAGUCUAGGUGUUUAUAUGUCUAUGGUUGCCUAGAUUGGUUCUCAAUCAGAGGCAGCUGUUUAUCAUUGUCUCUGAUUGGGAACCAUAUUUAGGUAGCCAUAUUCCUUGGUUAUUUUGUGGGUUGUUAUUCUAUGUUUAGUUGCCUGUUCUGCACUAGCCAUAUUGCUUCACGUUUUGUUGUUUUGUUUAGUUCUGUUCAGUGUUCUCUCUUUUAUUAAAGAGUUAUGUUCACUUAA